RNAcentral lists this ribosomal RNA (466 nucleotides) under uncultured bacterium. RNAcentral's name for it is "bacterial SSU rRNA". It matches the Rfam family "Bacterial small subunit ribosomal RNA", at positions 29 to 506 of the family's 1533-position model. The record is from RNAcentral.
AUGAACGCUAGCGGCAGGCCUAAUACAUGCAAGUCAAGGGGAUAGCAAUAUCACCGGCGGACGGGUGCGUAACGCGUACACAACGUGCCCAAGGGCGGAGGAAAGCGGCGGGAAACUGCCGGUAAUACUCCAUGGUGUUGUUGAGUGGCAUCACUUAACAACUAAAGUACAAGCGCCCUUGGAUCGGUGUGCGUUCGAUUAGCUAGUUGGCGGGGUAACGGCCCACCAAGGCUACGAUCGAUAGGGGGUGUGAGAGCAUGACCCCCCACACGGGUACUGAGACACGGACCCGACUCCUACGGGAGGCAGCAGUAAGGAAUAUUGGACAAUGGGCGGAAGCCUGAUCCAGCCAUGCCGCGUGAAGGAUGAAGGCGCUCAGCGUUGUAAACUUCUUUUGGAUGGGAACAAUAACCGAGACUUGUCUUGGCUUGAGGGUACCAUCAGAAUAAGCACCGGCUAACUCCGU